GACGAACGCUGGCGGCGUGCCUAAUACAUGCAAGUCGAACGCACUCUCGUUUAGAUUGCGGGAGUUUGCUCCUGAUUGAUAAACAUUUGAGUGAGUGGCGGACGGGCGAGUAACACGUGGGUAACCUGCCCUAAAGUGGGGGAUAACAUUUGGAAACAGAUGCUAAUGCCGCAUAAAACCUAACCCCGCAUGGUGUAGGGUUGAAAGAUGGUUUCGGCUAUCACUUUAGGAUGGACCCGCGGUGCAUUAGUUAGUUGGUGAGGUAAAGGCUCACCAAGACCGUGGUGCAUAGCCGAGCUGAGAAGGUAAUCGGCCACACUGGGAAUGAGACACGGCCCAGGCUCCUAAGGGAAGCAGCAGGAGGGAAUCUUUCACAAAGGACGAAAGGCUGAUGGAACAACGCCGCGGGAGGGAAGAAAGGUUUCGGAUCGUAAAACUCUGUUGGUGGAGAAGAAUGUAUCUGAUAGUAACUGAUCAGGUAGUGACGGUAACCAACCAGAAAGCCACGGCUAACCACGGGC
This 521-nucleotide ribosomal RNA is filed under the name uncultured bacterium. RNAcentral's name for it is "partial 16S ribosomal RNA". It matches the Rfam family "Bacterial small subunit ribosomal RNA", at positions 28 to 508 of the family's 1533-position model. The record is from RNAcentral.